AAUUAUCCUCAUAAGUUUGACAAUAAGAGGUACCGCUUAAUUCAGCGGUGGCACAGAAUCGGAGGCCCCGACUGUUUACUAAAAACACAUCACAGUGCAAUCAUUAAUAUGAUAGUAUACUGUGUGAAAUUUGCCCGAUGCCAUUAAUAUAAGAACGGUCAUUUUAAGUGACUUAUCGAAAAUCUGGUUAAUAGCGGUCUUAACUAUGAGGAUCCUAAGGUAGCAAAAUCAGUUGGCCUUUAAAUGAGGUCCGGUAUCAAUAAUGUAACGAUGGUCUCACUGUCUCUACAACUUGCUCAGUGAAAUUGAAUUACGCGUGCAGAUGCGCGUUACCUCCAGGGGGACGGGAAGACCCUAU
RNAcentral lists this ribosomal RNA (358 nucleotides) under Tricholomatoid sp. C328gn. RNAcentral describes it as "LSU rRNA". It matches the Rfam family "Bacterial large subunit ribosomal RNA", at positions 1720 to 2094 of the family's 2925-position model. Lineage: Eukaryota; Fungi; Basidiomycota; Agaricomycetes; Agaricales; Tricholomataceae. The record is from RNAcentral.